AAAUAGGCUCUACCCACUACACAUUAGAAGUUUUUUUUCUCUAUUUUUUUCAAAAGUUGACUUGUUACUCAUGAAAAUAAGAUUUCUGUGAGGUCAUUUUCAGUCCCAGGAAAUCGCGAGAAUGCAGGAUUUUGCACCAUUUACUCUAGAGCUUCUUGAGGCCUUGAGCGGCCCCCAGACCCCUCGCCGUAUGACUUCUUUCCCCGGCAUUGCGUACACAUCAUAUUGGCCUAGCUACGCCCCUGG
This 246-nucleotide long non-coding RNA is filed under the name Mytilus galloprovincialis (Mediterranean mussel). The record is from RNAcentral. Lineage: Eukaryota; Metazoa; Mollusca; Bivalvia; Mytilida; Mytilidae.